AACGAACGCUGGCGGCAUGCCUAACACAUGCAAGUCGAACGAGACCUUCGGGUCUAGUGGCGCACGGGUGCGUAACGCGUGGGAACCUGCCCUUAGGUUCGGAAUAACUCCCCGAAAGGGGUGCUAAUACCGGAUAAUGUCUUCGGACCAAAGAUUUAUCGCCUUUGGAUGGGCCCGCGUUUGAUUAGCUAGUUGGUAGGGUAAAAGCCUACCAAGGCGACGAUCCAUAGCUUGUCUGAGAGGAUGAUCAGCCACACUGGGACUGAGACACGGCCCAGACUCCUACGGGAGGCAGCGGUGGGGAAUAUUGGACAAUGGGCGAGAGCCUGAUCCAGCAAUGCCGCGUGAGUGAUGAAGGCCUUAGGGUUGUAAAGCUCUUUUACCCGGGAUGAUAAUGACAGUACCGGGAGAAUAAGCUCCGGCUAACUCCGUG
This 433-nucleotide ribosomal RNA is filed under the name uncultured bacterium. RNAcentral's name for it is "partial 16S ribosomal RNA". It matches the Rfam family "Bacterial small subunit ribosomal RNA", at positions 29 to 507 of the family's 1533-position model. The record is from RNAcentral.